CCUANGGGGGGCAGCAGUGGGGAAUUUUGGACAAUGGGCGCAAGCCUGAUCCAGCAAUGCCGCGUGCAGGAUGAAGGCCUUCGGGUUGUAAACUGCUUUUGUACGGAGCGAAACGGCCUCUUCUAAUACAAGAGGCUAAUGACGGUACCGUAAGAAUAAGCACCGGCUAACUACGUGCCAGCAGCCGCGGUAAUACGUAGGGUGCAAGCGUUAAUCGGAAUUACUGGGCGUAAAGCGUGCGCAGGCGGUUUUGUAAGACAGAUGUGAAAUCCCCGGGCUCAACCUGGGACCUGCAUUUGUGACUGCAAGGCUAGAGUACGGUAGAGGGGGAUGGAAUUCCGCGUGUAGCAGUGAAAUGCGUAGAUAUGCGGAGGAACACCGAUGGCGAAGGCAAUCCCCUGGACCUGUACUGACGCUCAUGCACGAAAGCGUGGGGAGCAAACAGGAUUAGAUACCCCUNUANUC
RNAcentral lists this ribosomal RNA (465 nucleotides) under uncultured bacterium. RNAcentral describes it as "bacterial SSU rRNA". It matches the Rfam family "Bacterial small subunit ribosomal RNA", at positions 338 to 795 of the family's 1533-position model. The record is from RNAcentral.